RNAcentral lists this ribosomal RNA (1468 nucleotides) under Lactiplantibacillus plantarum subsp. plantarum. Its description in RNAcentral is "bacterial SSU rRNA". It matches the Rfam family "Bacterial small subunit ribosomal RNA". The record is from RNAcentral. Lineage: Bacteria; Bacillati; Bacillota; Bacilli; Lactobacillales; Lactobacillaceae.
CAUGCCCUAAUACAUGCAAGUCGAACGAACUCUGGUAUUGAUUGGUGCUUGCAUCAUGAUUUACAUUUGAGUGAGUGGCGAACUGGUGAGUAACACGUGGGAAACCUGCCCAGAAGCGGGGGAUAACACCUGGAAACAGAUGCUAAUACCGCAUAACAACUUGGACCGCAUGGUCCGAGUUUGAAAGAUGGCUUCGGCUAUCACUUUUGGAUGGUCCCGCGGCGUAUUAGCUAGAUGGUGGGGUAACGGCUCACCAUGGCAAUGAUACGUAGCCGACCUGAGAGGGUAAUCGGCCACAUUGGGACUGAGACACGGCCCAAACUCCUACGGGAGGCAGCAGUAGGGAAUCUUCCACAAUGGACGAAAGUCUGAUGGAGCAACGCCGCGUGAGUGAAGAAGGGUUUCGGCUCGUAAAACUCUGUUGUUAAAGAAGAACAUAUCUGAGAGUAACUGUUCAGGUAUUGACGGUAUUUAACCAGAAAGCCACGGCUAACUACGUGCCAGCAGCCGCGGUAAUACGUAGGUGGCAAGCGUUGUCCGGAUUUAUUGGGCGUAAAGCGAGCGCAGGCGGUUUUUUAAGUCUGAUGUGAAAGCCUUCGGCUCAACCGAAGAAGUGCAUCGGAAACUGGGAAACUUGAGUGCAGAAGAGGACAGUGGAACUCCAUGUGUAGCGGUGAAAUGCGUAGAUAUAUGGAAGAACACCAGUGGCGAAGGCGGCUGUCUGGUCUGUAACUGACGCUGAGGCUCGAAAGUAUGGGUAGCAAACAGGAUUAGAUACCCUGGUAGUCCAUACCGUAAACGAUGAAUGCUAAGUGUUGGAGGGUUUCCGCCCUUCAGUGCUGCAGCUAACGCAUUAAGCAUUCCGCCUGGGGAGUACGGCCGCAAGGCUGAAACUCAAAGGAAUUGACGGGGGCCCGCACAAGCGGUGGAGCAUGUGGUUUAAUUCGAAGCUACGCGAAGAACCUUACCAGGUCUUGACAUACUAUGCAAAUCUAAGAGAUUAGACGUUCCCUUCGGGGACAUGGAUACAGGUGGUGCAUGGUUGUCGUCAGCUCGUGUCGUGAGAUGUUGGGUUAAGUCCCGCAACGAGCGCAACCCUUAUUAUCAGUUGCCAGCAUUAAGUUGGGCACUCUGGUGAGACUGCCGGUGACAAACCGGAGGAAGGUGGGGAUGACGUCAAAUCAUCAUGCCCCUUAUGACCUGGGCUACACACGUGCUACAAUGGAUGGUACAACGAGUUGCGAACUCGCGAGAGUAAGCUAAUCUCUUAAAGCCAUUCUCAGUUCGGAUUGUAGGCUGCAACUCGCCUACAUGAAGUCGGAAUCGCUAGUAAUCGCGGAUCAGCAUGCCGCGGUGAAUACGUUCCCGGGCCUUGUACACACCGCCCGUCACACCAUGAGAGUUUGUAACACCCAAAGUCGGUGGGGUAACCUUUUAGGAACCAGCCGCCUAAGGUGACAGGAAUUGG